This 261-nucleotide long non-coding RNA is filed under the name Ananas comosus (pineapple). Its description in RNAcentral is "long non-coding RNA (ACOM_LNC010664)". Lineage: Eukaryota; Viridiplantae; Streptophyta; Magnoliopsida; Poales; Bromeliaceae. The record is from RNAcentral.
AAAAGAUAUAAAGUUAGAGUUAAUUCUAAUUUUUUUAUUUUAUAAAAAAGAUAAAUUCAAUCUCCAUAUUUGUAAUGUACUGAACAUUGAUAAAUUGGUAAAGUAUGGUUUAAGUCAUGUUAUACAUGACUAAAAUGAGUUUUGAGAGAUUUAGAUCGAGUUUGGAUCGAAUUGAAAAUAAUUCGGAUCGAAACAGUGUUCUGAAACUCAGAAAAUUGAGUUUCAGGUCGUUUUGGAAGCUCGAGAAGGGAGAUCAAGCGC